This 253-nucleotide ribosomal RNA is filed under the name uncultured bacterium. Its description in RNAcentral is "partial 16S ribosomal RNA". It matches the Rfam family "Bacterial small subunit ribosomal RNA", at positions 524 to 776 of the family's 1533-position model. The record is from RNAcentral.
UACGUAGGCAGCGAGCGUUGUUCGGGAUUACUGGGCGUAAAGAGUGUGUAGGCGGUGCUCUAAGUUCGGUGUGAAAUCUCCCGGCUUAACUGGGAGGGUGCGCCGGAAACUGGAGUGCUCGAGCGUGGGAGAGGAAAGCGGAAUUCCUGGUGUAGCGGUGAAAUGCGUAGAUAUCAGGAGGAACACCUGCGGUGUAGACGGCUUUCUGGACCAUUGCUGACGCUGAGACACGAAAGCGUGGGUAGCAAACAGG